RNAcentral lists this long non-coding RNA (284 nucleotides) under Homo sapiens (human). Its description in RNAcentral is "HSALNT0036061". The record is from RNAcentral. Lineage: Eukaryota; Metazoa; Chordata; Mammalia; Primates; Hominidae.
AGUGUCUUCUCAGAAACAACCAGCUGAGAAGUGUCUUCUCAGAAACAACCAGCUGAGAAGGCUACAAGUGACGAGAAAGAUUCUGUUUCAAAUAUAGCCACAGAAAUAAAGAAGGGACAACAAUCUGGGACAGUGUCUCCUCAGAAACAAUCGGCCUGGAAGGUUAUAUUUAAAAAGAAAGUUUCUCUUUUGAAUAUUGCCACAAGAAUAAUGGGUGGUGGGAAAUCUGGAACAGGUAAUUUGGCAAUACACAUUUAAUGUCAUGUGCACUCAAGACAGAAGAG